CAAAGAAAAACCGAAAACAUACAGUUGGAUGAGGAGAGCUACAUUGAAGAUUUGGCUGAAGAUUCCACACACAAAUACUUGGGAAUAGAAGAAAAUGCUACAAUAGAACACAAGAAAAUGAGAACAAAAACAACAAAAGAAUACCUAAA
Long non-coding RNA from Thalassophryne amazonica, 149 nucleotides. RefSeq lists it as uncharacterized. The record is from RefSeq and is a predicted model, not a curated record. The transcript has 3 exons. NCBI's taxonomy places the organism in Eukaryota, Metazoa, Chordata, Actinopteri, Batrachoidiformes, Batrachoididae.